This is a non-coding RNA of Ixodes scapularis (black-legged tick), 46 nucleotides long. The record is from Rfam. NCBI's taxonomy places the organism in Eukaryota, Metazoa, Arthropoda, Arachnida, Ixodida, Ixodidae.
CAAACGGCCCUUCUCAGGGCCACCCAUUUUUUUCUAUCGAGGUCUG